RNAcentral lists this ribosomal RNA (485 nucleotides) under uncultured bacterium. RNAcentral's name for it is "bacterial SSU rRNA". It matches the Rfam family "Bacterial small subunit ribosomal RNA", at positions 29 to 487 of the family's 1533-position model. The record is from RNAcentral.
AACUAACGCUGGCGGCGUGCCUAACACAUGCAAGUCGUACGAGAAAGUUGGCUUCGGCCGAUGAGUAAAGUGGCGCACGGGUGAGUAAUGCGUGGAUAAUCUGCCCUUUAGUUGGGAAUAACGUACCGAAAGGUGCGCUAAUACCUGAUAAUACUGCAUAACUACUGUUGUGUAGUCAAAGAAGGCCUCUGUUUACAAGCUUUUGUCUGAAGGAUGAGUCCGCGUACCAUUAGCUGGUUGGUGGGGUAAGUGGCCUACCAAGGCUACGAUGGUUAGCUGGUCUGAGAGGAUGAUCAGCCACACUGGAACUGAGACACGGUCCAGACUCCUACGGGAGGCAGCAGUGAGGAAUAUUGCGCAAUGGGGGCAACCCUGACGCAGCAACGCCGCGUGAGUGAGGAAGGUUUUCGGACCGUAAAGCUCUGUCGAGCGGGAAGAAAUGUAUCAUGGCUAAUAUCCAUGAUACUUGACGGUACCGCUAAAGG